GCCGGGAUACCUCAGUGGGUUAAGCAAAGGACUGAAAWUCCUCGUGUC
This 48-nucleotide transfer RNA is filed under the name Chaetanthus aristatus. Its description in RNAcentral is "partial tRNA-Phe". The record is from RNAcentral. Lineage: Eukaryota; Viridiplantae; Streptophyta; Magnoliopsida; Poales; Restionaceae.